GGAGACUCUAAGACUUCUGAAGAGUUUCUUGCUUCUUUCCUGUGGGGCAGUGACUCCACUUCCCAGCAGUAAUGGAAUAUCCUGAAUUAGCUACAUUAAUGUUAGAACCAUUUGGACCUCACCCAGGACUUCAACUACAUUAUGCUAAAGUUACAGAACCCAAAUUUGGCAACUGUCUGCAUCUGAACAACAGAAGUUUCAACAUUCUGCCAACAGAGUAACUCCUGGACGAUUGGCACAGAAGAAGGCACAAGGCAAAUACCCAUCUCUGUACACCCUGUGCUACUGUGUCAUGUGCUGCUCCAGGCAACUCCAAUGGAUUGGCCACCCUGGCCAAUGUGCCCUCCAAACACCAGCACUGAGUAGAAAGAGGCUCUGAUUCAUGAAAUGUGAAUUUAUGACAGUUGCCACUCUUAAAAAAAAAAACAAACAGACAGAACUUGAGCAAUACAUGACUGAUGCAUUCUCAGCCUGCUUCCUGUGUUCCAUCUGUCUUUCUGCCAGUGCAUUCACCCUCCAGUGAAACUUUCUACAUUCCACAUUUUCUAUCAAGAAAAGAAAGAGGUUGUAUUGUGAGGUAAGAGGCACACACACGGACUUCCUUCAGUAGCUGCAAUCCUUGCUAUAGGUCAGGCAUCAAGACAAUUCCACUUUACAGGCCUGGAUUUUGGAGAAAGAAAGGUUCUAGUAUGUUACGUUUAUGUUCCCCUGCUUUCUACAAUCCUGUUCAA
Homo sapiens (human) is the source of this 731-nucleotide long non-coding RNA. Ensembl annotates it as STARD13 antisense RNA. Its record names the gene STARD13-AS. The record is from Ensembl. NCBI's taxonomy places the organism in Eukaryota, Metazoa, Chordata, Mammalia, Primates, Hominidae.